Molecule: ribosomal RNA, 773 nt
Filed under: uncultured bacterium
Lineage: Bacteria
Description: bacterial SSU rRNA
Rfam family: Bacterial small subunit ribosomal RNA
Source: RNAcentral
UGAUUUACAUUUGAGUGAGUGGCGAACUGGUGAGUAACACGUGGGAAACCUGCCCAGAAGCGGGGGAUAACACCUGGCAAACAGAUGCUAAUACCGCAUAACAACUUGGACCGCAUGGUCCGAGCUUGAAAGAUGGCUUCGGCUAUCACUUUUGGAUGGUCCCGCGGCGUAUUAGCUAGAUGGUGGGGUAACGGCUCACCAUGGCAAUGAUACGUAGCCGACCUGAGAGGGUAAUCGGCCACAUUGGGACUGAGACACGGCCCAAACUCCUACGGGAGGCAGCAGUAGGGAAUCUUCCACAAUGGACGAAAGUCUGAUGGAGCAACGCCGCGUGAGUGAAGAAGGGUUUCGGCUCGUAAAACUCUGUUGUUAAAGAAGAACAUAUCUGAGAGUAACUGUUCAGGUAUUGACGGUAUUUAACCAGAAAGCCACGGCUAACUACGUGCCAGCAGCCGCGGUAAUACGUAGGUGGCAAGCGUUGUCCGGAUUUAUUGGGCGUAAAGCGAGCGCAGGCGGUUUUUUAAGUCUGAUGUGAAAGCCUUCGGCUCAACCGAAGAAGUGCAUCGGAAACUGGGAAACUUGAGUGCAGAAGAGGACAGUGGAACUCCAUGUGUAGCGGUGAAAUGCGUAGAUAUAUGGAAGAACACCAGUGGCGAAGGCGGCUGUCUGGUCUGUAACUGACGCUGAGGCUCGAAAGUAUGGGUAGCAAACAGGAUUAGAUACCCUGGUAGUCCCAUACCCGUAAACGAUGAAUGCUAAGUGUUGGAGGGUUU